UACGUAGGGGCCUAGCGUUGUCCGGAUUCAUUGGGCGUAAAGAGCGUGUAGGCGGCCGCUUAAGUCCUGCGUGAAAUCUCGGAGCUCAACUCCGAGCGGUCGUGGGAAACUGGGCGGCUGGAGUGCGGGAGAGGAGAGUGGAAUUCCUGGUGUAGCGGUGGAAUGCGCAGAUAUCAGGAAGAACACCCGUGGCGAAGGCGGCCCUCUGGGACGCAACUGACGCUGAGACGCGAAAGCGUGGGGAGCAAACAGG
This 253-nucleotide ribosomal RNA is filed under the name uncultured bacterium. RNAcentral describes it as "partial 16S ribosomal RNA". It matches the Rfam family "Bacterial small subunit ribosomal RNA", at positions 524 to 776 of the family's 1533-position model. The record is from RNAcentral.